UAGCCGCAGAAUUCUGUGCUAAGGUAGCAUAAUCAUUUGUCUUUUAAUUAAAGACUAGAAUGAAAGGUUAAACGAAUAAAAAUUUCUAUAAAUAUAAUACAUUUAAAUUAAAUUUUUUGUAAAAAUACAAUAAUAAAUAAAAAAGACGACAAGACCCUAUCGAACUUAACUAAUGUUAUACUGGGGCAGUAUUCUAAUAAAAACUUAAAAACAUAAAUUAAUAAAUUUCCCUUUAAAAAGAAUCAAAAGUUACCGUAGGGAUAACAGCGCAAUUUAUUUUUAAAGUCCUUAUCAAAAAAUAAGAUUACGACCUCGAUGUUGAAUUAAUUUAUCAAGUAAAAGCAAAAUUUUACAAGAAAGUCUGUUCGACUUUUAAAUAAUUACAUGAUCUG
Molecule: ribosomal RNA, 392 nt
Filed under: Falcileptoneta juwangensis
Lineage: Eukaryota; Metazoa; Arthropoda; Arachnida; Araneae; Leptonetidae
Description: partial large subunit ribosomal RNA
Rfam family: Bacterial large subunit ribosomal RNA
Source: RNAcentral